AUUGAACGCUGGCGGCAGGCCUAACACAUGCAAGUCGAGCGGCAGCACGGGUACUUGUACCUGGUGGCGAGCGGCGGACGGGUGAGUAAUGCCUAGGAAUCUGCCUGGUAGUGGGGGAUAACGCUCGGAAACGGACGCUAAUACCGCAUNCGUCCUACGGGAGAAAGCAGGGGACCUUCGGGCCUUGCGCUAUCAGAUGAGCCUAGGUCGGAUUAGCUAGUUGGUGAGGUAAUGGCUCACCAAGGCGACGAUCCGUAACUGGUCUGAGAGGAUGAUCAGUCACACUGGAAAUGAGACACGGUCCAGACUCCUACGGGAGGCAGCAGUGGGGAAUAUUGGACAAUGGGAGAAAGCCUGAUCCANCCAUGCCGCGUGUGUGAAGAAGGUCUUCGGAUUGUAAAGCACUUUAAGUUGGGAGGAAGGGCAUUUACCUAAUACGUAAGUGUUUUGACGUUACCGACAGAAUAAGCACC
Molecule: ribosomal RNA, 473 nt
Filed under: Pseudomonas sp. NN018616
Lineage: Bacteria; Pseudomonadati; Pseudomonadota; Gammaproteobacteria; Pseudomonadales; Pseudomonadaceae
Description: bacterial SSU rRNA
Rfam family: Bacterial small subunit ribosomal RNA
Source: RNAcentral